Non-coding RNA from Populus trichocarpa (black cottonwood), 89 nucleotides. The record is from Rfam. Lineage: Eukaryota; Viridiplantae; Streptophyta; Magnoliopsida; Malpighiales; Salicaceae.
AUGGAAUUUCUGGUUAUUUCCCCAAAUGAUUGAUGCUGAAUAAACUGAGCAAUCUCUCUUGGAGUUUCCAAGCCAGGACUCUGAUCCAU